This 1525-nucleotide ribosomal RNA is filed under the name uncultured Bacillus sp. Its description in RNAcentral is "bacterial SSU rRNA". It matches the Rfam family "Bacterial small subunit ribosomal RNA". The record is from RNAcentral. Lineage: Bacteria; Bacillati; Bacillota; Bacilli; Caryophanales; Bacillaceae.
AGAGUUUGAUCAUGGCUCAGGACGAACGCUGGCGGCGUGCCUAAUACAUGCAAGUCGAGCGAGCGGAACUAACAGAUUUACUUCGGUAAUGACGUUAGGAAAGCGAGCGGCGGAUGGGUGAGUAACACGUGGGGAACCUGCCCCAUAGUCUGGGAUACCACUUGGAAACAGGUGCUAAUACCGGAUAAUAAAGCAGAUCGCAUGAUCAGCUUUUAAAAGGCGGCGUAAGCUGUCGCUAUGGGAUGGCCCCGCGGUGCAUUAGCUAGUUGGUAAGGUAAAGGCUUACCAAGGCGAUGAUGCAUAGCCGAGUUGAGAGACUGAUCGGCCACAUUGGGACUGAGACACGGCCCAAACUCCUACGGGAGGCAGCAGUAGGGAAUCUUCCACAAUGGACGCAAGUCUGAUGGAGCAACGCCGCGUGAGUGAAGAAGGUUUUCGGAUCGUAAAGCUCUGUUGUUGGUGAAGAAGGAUAGAGGUAGUAACUGGCCUUUAUUUGACGGUAAUCAACCAGAAAGUCACGGCUAACUACGUGCCAGCAGCCGCGGUAAUACGUAGGUGGCAAGCGUUGUCCGGAUUUAUUGGGCGUAAAGCGAGCGCAGGCGGAAGAAUAAGUCUGAUGUGAAAGCCCUCGGCUUAACCGAGGAACUGCAUCGGAAACUGUUUUUCUUGAGUGCAGAAGAGGAGAGUGGAACUCCAUGUGUAGCGGUGGAAUGCGUAGAUAUAUGGAAGAACACCAGUGGCGAAGGCGGCUCUCUGGUCUGCAACUGACGCUGAGGCUCGAAAGCAUGGGUAGCGAACAGGAUUAGAUACCCUGGUAGUCCAUGCCGUAAACGAUGAGUGCUAAGUGUUGGGAGGUUUCCGCCUCUCAGUGCUGCAGCUAACGCAUUAAGCACUCCGCCUGGGGAGUACGACCGCAAGGUUGAAACUCAAAGGAAUUGACGGGGGCCCGCACAAGCGGUGGAGCAUGUGGUUUAAUUCGAAGCAACGCGAAGAACCUUACCAGGUCUUGACAUCUAGUGCCAUUUGUAGAGAUACAAAGUUCCCUUCGGGGACGCUAAGACAGGUGGUGCAUGGCUGUCGUCAGCUCGUGUCGUGAGAUGUUGGGUUAAGUCCCGCAACGAGCGCAACCCUUGUUAUUAGUUGCCAGCAUUAAGUUGGGCACUCUAAUGAGACUGCCGGUGACAAACCGGAGGAAGGUGGGGAUGACGUCAAGUCAUCAUGCCCCUUAUGACCUGGGCUACACACGUGCUACAAUGGGCAGUACAACGAGAAGCGAGCCUGCGAAGGCAAGCGAAUCUCUGAAAGCUGUUCUCAGUUCGGACUGCAGUCUGCAACUCGACUGCACGAAGCUGGAAUCGCUAGUAAUCGCGGAUCAGCACGCCGCGGUGAAUACGUUCCCGGGCCUUGUACACACCGCCCGUCACACCAUGGGAGUCUGCAAUGCCCAAAGCCGGUGGCCUAACCUUCGGGAAGGAGCCGUCUAAGGCAGGGCAGAUGACUGGGGUGAAGUCGUAACAAGGUAACC